This 494-nucleotide ribosomal RNA is filed under the name uncultured bacterium. Its description in RNAcentral is "bacterial SSU rRNA". It matches the Rfam family "Bacterial small subunit ribosomal RNA", at positions 903 to 1397 of the family's 1533-position model. The record is from RNAcentral.
AAAGGAAUUGACGGGGACCCGCACAAGCGGUGGAGCAUGUGGCUUAAUUCGAGGCAACGCGAAGAACCUUACCUGGGCUUGACAUAUAUAGGUCCUCCCAUGAAAGUGGGAUUCUCUUCGGAGCUUAUAUACAGGUGCUGCAUGGCUGUCGUCAGCUCGUGCCGUGAGGUGUUCGGUUAAGUCCGGCAACGAGCGCAACCCGUGUCUUUAGUUACCAGCGCGUUAUGGCGGGGACUCUAAAGAGACUGCCUGUGUUAAACAGGAGGAAGGAGCGGAUGAUGUCAAGUCAGCAUGGCCCUUAUGUCCAGGGCUGCACACGUGCUACAAUGGUUGGUCCAGUGGGAUGCUAAGUCGCGAGACGGCGCAAAUCCAAAAAGCCAAUCUUAGUUCGGAUUGUAGUCUGCAACUCGACUACAUGAAGUCGGAAUCGCUAGUAAAGGCGUAUCAGCUAUGGCGCCUUGAAUACGUUCCCGGGUCUUGUACACACCGCCCGU